This 889-nucleotide ribosomal RNA is filed under the name Trichoderma sp. DV-2018b. Its description in RNAcentral is "LSU rRNA". It matches the Rfam family "Eukaryotic large subunit ribosomal RNA", at positions 42 to 959 of the family's 3401-position model. Lineage: Eukaryota; Fungi; Ascomycota; Sordariomycetes; Hypocreales; Hypocreaceae. The record is from RNAcentral.
AUCAAUAAGCGGAGGAAAAGAAACCAACAGGGAUUGCCCCAGUAACGGCGAGUGAAGCGGCAACAGCUCAAAUUUGAAAUCUGGCCCCUCGGGGUCCGAGUUGUAAUUUGUAGAGGAUGCUUUUGGUGAGGUGCCGCCCGAGUUCCCUGGAACGGGACGCCACAGAGGGUGAGAGCCCCGUCUGGCUGGCCGCCGAGCCUCUGUAAAGCUCCUUCGACGAGUCGAGUAGUUUGGGAAUGCUGCUCAAAAUGGGAGGUAUAUGUCUUCUAAAGCUAAAUAUUGGCCAGAGACCGAUAGCGCACAAGUAGAGUGAUCGAAAGAUGAAAAGCACCUUGAAAAGAGGGUUAAAUAGUACGUGAAAUUGUUGAAAGGGAAGCGCUUGUGACCAGACUUGGGCGCGGCGGAUCAUCCGGGGUUCUCUCCGGUGCACUUCGCCGCGUCUGGGCCAGCAUCAGUUCGUCGCGGGGGAAAAAGGCUUCGGGAACGUGGCUCCUCCGGGAGUGUUAUAGCCCGUUGCAUAAUACCCUGCGGUGGACUGAGGACCGCGCAUCUGCAAGGAUGCUGGCGUAAUGGUCACCAGCGACCCGUCUUGAAACACGGACCAAGGAGUCGUCUUCGUAUGCGAGUGUUCGGGUGUCAAACCCCUACGCGUAAUGAAAGUGAACGCAGGUGAGAGCUUCGGCGCAUCAUCGACCGAUCCUGAUGUUCUCGGAUGGAUUUGAGUAAGAGCAUACGGGGCCGGACCCGAAAGAAGGUGAACUAUGCCUGUAUAGGGUGAAGCCAGAGGAAACUCUGGUGGAGGCUCGCAGCGGUUCUGACGUGCAAAUCGAUCGUCAAAUAUGGGCAUGGGGGGCGAAAGACUAAUCGAACCUUCUAGUAGCUGGUUUCC